AGAACGAACGCUGGCGGCAUGCCUAAUACAUGCAAGUCGAACGAAGGCUUCGGCCUUAGUGGCGCACGGGUGCGUAACGCGUGGGAAUCUGCCCCUUGGUUCGGAAUAACAGUUGGAAACGACUGCUAAUACCGGAUGAUGACGAAAGUCCAAAGAUUUAUCGCCAAGGGAUGAGCCCGCGUAGGAUUAGCUAGUUGGUGAGGUAAAGGCUCACCAAGGCGACGAUCCUUAGCUGGUCUGAGAGGAUGAUCAGCCACACUGGGACUGAGACACGGCCCAGACUCCUACGGGAGGCAGCAGUAGGGAAUAUUGGACAAGUGGGACGAAAG
RNAcentral lists this ribosomal RNA (329 nucleotides) under uncultured soil bacterium. Its description in RNAcentral is "bacterial SSU rRNA". It matches the Rfam family "Bacterial small subunit ribosomal RNA", at positions 26 to 381 of the family's 1533-position model. The record is from RNAcentral.